UUAACUGAAGAGUUUGAUCAUGGCUCAGAUUGAACGCUGGCGGCAGGCCUAACACAUGCAAGUCGAGCGGAAACGAUGGUAGCUUGCUACCAGGCGUCGAGCGGCGGACGGGUGAGUAACGCGUGAGAAUCUGCCCAUUUGUGGGGGAUAACUCGGGGAAACUCGAGCUAAUACCGCAUAAUCCCUACGGGGG
Molecule: ribosomal RNA, 193 nt
Filed under: Alcanivorax sp. HI0007
Lineage: Bacteria; Pseudomonadati; Pseudomonadota; Gammaproteobacteria; Oceanospirillales; Alcanivoracaceae
Description: partial 16S ribosomal RNA
Rfam family: Bacterial small subunit ribosomal RNA
Source: RNAcentral